GCCAGCCCGCUCAAGAACUCAAAGGAAUUGACGGGACCCCGCACAAGCGGUGGAUCAUGUUGUUUAAUUCGAUGAUACGCGAAGAACCUUACCAGGUCUUGACAUCCCCCCGCGAUGCUUUAGAGAUAAAGCGGAGGUAUUCGGGGAGACAGGUGGUGCAUGGUUGUCGUCAGCUCGUGUCGUGAGAUGCUGGGUUAAGUCCCGCAACGAGCGCAACCCCUAUUGCUAGUUACCAUCAUUAAGUUGGGGACUCUAGCGAGACUGCCAGUGAUAAACUGGAGGAAGGUGGGGAUGACGUCAAAUCAUCAUGCCCCUUAUGACCUGGGCUACAAACGUGAUACAAUGGCUGGAACAAAGGGAUGCGAAGCAGUGAUGUGGAGACGAAACCCAAUAAAAACAGUCUCAGUUCGGAUUGAAGUCUGCAACUCGACUUCAUGAAGUCGGAAUCGCUAGUAAUCGCGGAUCAGAACGCCGCGGUGAAUACGUUCUCGGGGUUU
This 497-nucleotide ribosomal RNA is filed under the name uncultured Acholeplasma sp. Its description in RNAcentral is "bacterial SSU rRNA". It matches the Rfam family "Bacterial small subunit ribosomal RNA", at positions 903 to 1382 of the family's 1533-position model. Lineage: Bacteria; Bacillati; Mycoplasmatota; Mollicutes; Acholeplasmatales; Acholeplasmataceae. The record is from RNAcentral.